RNAcentral lists this ribosomal RNA (426 nucleotides) under uncultured bacterium. RNAcentral describes it as "partial 16S ribosomal RNA". It matches the Rfam family "Bacterial small subunit ribosomal RNA", at positions 354 to 796 of the family's 1533-position model. The record is from RNAcentral.
GUGAGGAAUUUUCCGCAAUGGGCGAAAGUCUGACGGAGCAAUGCCGCGUGAAGGAUGAAGGCCUAUGGGUUGUAAACUUCUUUUCUUAGAGAAGAAUAUUGACGGUAUCUGAGGAAUAAGCAUCGGCUAACUCUGUGCCAGCAGCCGCGGUAAGACAGAGGAUGCAAGCGUUAUCCGGAAUGAUUGGGCGUAAAGCGUCUGUAGGUGGCUUCAAAAGUCUCCUGUCAAAGAUCAGGGCUUAACCCUGGGCCGGCAGGAGAAACUCUGAGGCUAGAGUUUGGUAGGGGCAGAUGGAAUGCCCGGUGGAGCGGUGAAAUGCGUAGAGAUCGGGAGGAACACCAAAGGCGAAAGCACUCUGCUGGGCCACAACUGACACUGAGAGACGAAAGCGAGGGGAGCAAAAGGGAUUAGAUACCCCGGUAGUCC